Homo sapiens (human) is the source of this 671-nucleotide long non-coding RNA. Ensembl annotates it as HOXA transcript antisense RNA, myeloid-specific 1. Its record names the gene HOTAIRM1. NCBI's taxonomy places the organism in Eukaryota, Metazoa, Chordata, Mammalia, Primates, Hominidae. The record is from Ensembl.
AAAAGUUUGCCGGCUUCCGCAGUGAUGGAUCACCGUUUUAGUGGCAUUUAAAUCCCCGGCGCUCCGCCGUCUAGGUGACGCGCAGUCGCCCCCCCAGGCAGCCUAGGCGGCGGCAGCUGCUGCGGCGACUGCAAAGGCCGAUUUGGAGUGCUGGAGCGAAGAAGAGCAAAAGCUGCGUUCUGCGCGCGCCCGACUCCGCUGCCCGCCCCGCCAGGCCUCCGGGAGGUGGGGGCUGGGAGGCGUCCCCCGCUCCCGCCCCCUCCCCACCGUUCAAUGAAAGAUGAACUGGCGAGAGGUCUGUUUUGCCUGAACCCAUCAACAGCUGGGAGAUUAAUCAACCACACUGAAAAUGUGGAGGGAUUUAUGGGGGAGGGGGUUGAAAUGUGGGUGUUUGAAACAAAAGUGUAUAAACAAAUGAAUUGUUGAUAACUUAGUUAUUGACCUGGAGACUGGUAGCUUAUUAAAGAAACUCCGUGUUACUCAUUCCUGGAGUUGGGGGUUUCUGUAGGCACUUUAUUUCUCCACUUUCAAGAGCUUGGGCUUGGCCCAAAUCUUAGACUGUCCAAUUCUGCCUCUAUUACCAAUUUAAAUCUAUGGCUUGAACCUGUGCACUGAAAAUCAAAUCCUUUAAAAAGAAAGAGGAGAAGAAGAAGCAAAAAAGAAAGAAAAAA